UACACCUGUGGAAAGUACAAAGCAGCUUGAUCACGACCCCAGCUGUGUGACUGUGUUUUCUUAAAAAUGUAUUUUGAAGUCUUUGCAACCAUCAUGAUUACAAGCUCUGUGUUAGGAAAUCAAGUGAUCCAGAACGUCUCUGAAAUCACAGUCAAGAAAGGAGACGACAUAGUGCUAGGCUGCAGCUACAGCGGAACAAAGUAUGUGCUUAUAUGGUACCAGCAGAAACCCCAUCAAUCUCUCCAGCUUAUUCUCCACGAUGAAUCCAAAACCCUCAAUGAGGAGUUUGCACAGCGUUUUUCUGGCCACCAUGAUACCGAGCAAAAGACUUUCAAUCUUUUUAUCAGAAGGAGUCAGUGGUCAGAUACUGCGACUUACUACUGUGCCUUGGAGUAUGGCACCGUGUGCAGAGCAAGGUCUCAGCUGUUCAUUAACUCCUUUAGCUGUAAGACAGGGCUUAAAGCAGGCCACGGACUAAAAAUACCAGUGUAA
Pelobates fuscus (common spadefoot toad) is the source of this 492-nucleotide non-coding RNA. The record is from the annotation of a RefSeq genome assembly. NCBI's taxonomy places the organism in Eukaryota, Metazoa, Chordata, Amphibia, Anura, Pelobatidae.